GUCUACGGCCAUGCCACCCUGAACAAGCCUGAUCCUGUCUGAUCUCAGAAGCUAAGCAGGGUCGGGCCUGGUUAGUACUUGGAUGGGAGACCACCUAGGAAGACCAGGUGCUAUAGGCA
This 119-nucleotide ribosomal RNA is filed under the name Pteropus alecto (black flying fox). The record is from RNAcentral. Lineage: Eukaryota; Metazoa; Chordata; Mammalia; Chiroptera; Pteropodidae.